Molecule: unclassified non-coding RNA, 329 nt
Filed under: soil metagenome
Description: partial contains 5.8S ribosomal RNA, internal transcribed spacer 2, and large subunit ribosomal RNA
Rfam family: 5.8S ribosomal RNA (bases 1-120)
Source: RNAcentral
GAUGAAGAACGUAGCGAAAUGCGAUAAGUAGUGUGAAUUGCAGAAUUCAGUGAAUCAUCGAAUCUUUGAACGCACAUUGCGCCCCUUGGUAUCCCGAGGGGCAUGCCUGUUCGAGCGUCAUUUCACCACUCAAGCCUGGCUUGGUGAUGGGCGACGUCCUCUUUGGGGACGCGCCUCGAAACGCUCGGCGGCGUGGCACCGGCUUUAAGCGUAGCAGAAUCUUUCGCUUUGGAAGUCGGGGCCCCGUCUGCCGGAAGACCUGCUCGCAAGGUUGACCUCGGAUCAGGCAGGGAUACCCGCUGAACUUAAGCAUAUCAAUAAGCGGAGGA